This is a long non-coding RNA of Mesocricetus auratus (golden hamster), 389 nucleotides long. RefSeq lists it as uncharacterized. Lineage: Eukaryota; Metazoa; Chordata; Mammalia; Rodentia; Cricetidae. The record is from RefSeq and is a predicted model, not a curated record. The transcript is spliced from 3 exons.
GAUGCAGAACGACGCUAGCCACGCCCAGGACUCCGAGCGAGGAGCGUCGGCAGCGGCCCAAGGCUUAAAGGUGGCAGGACUUGAUGGUGUCUUGGCAUCUGUUGCAUACUCACGAGAUUUCAUGGGAGUAAAGGAUGAUGAGACCGAGAGGGACAAGGAUCUGCAGUGUUGAGUGCUGGGGGGAAGACCUUAUAUAACAGGCCUGGUUUCUAAUAAGGAGAGGCAGAAACAUGGCAACAUGCAAAGCCCACGUGGAGAAGAGACCCUAGGAGAAAUCAACCCUGUCGGCAUCUCCGUUUGGGAUUCCCACCUGCUGGAACUUUGAGGUAUGGGGCUGGAGAGAUGGCUCAGAGGUUAAGAGCACUGACUGCUCUUCCAGAUGUCCCGAG